UGGGGAAUAUUGGACAAUGGGCGAAAGCCUGAUCCAGCAAUGCCGCGUGAGUGAUGAAGGCCUUAGGGUUGUAAAGCUCUUUUACCAGGGAUGAUAAUGACAGUACCUGGAGAAUAAGCUCCGGCUAACUCCGUGCCAGCAGCCGCGGUAAUACGGAGGGAGCUAGCGUUGUUCGGAAUUACUGGGCGUAAAGCGCGCGUAGGCGGUUUUUUAAGUCAGAGGUGAAAGCCCAGUGCUCAACACUGGAACUGCCUUUGAAACUGGAAAACUUGAAUCUUGGAGAGGUCAGUGGAAUUCCGAGUGUAGAGGUGAAAUUCGUAGAUAUUCGGAAGAACACCAGUGGCGAAGGCGACUGACUGGACAAGUAUUGACGCUGAGGUGCGAAAGCGUGGGGAGCAAACAGG
RNAcentral lists this ribosomal RNA (404 nucleotides) under Bacillota bacterium. RNAcentral describes it as "Firmicutes bacterium partial 16S ribosomal RNA". It matches the Rfam family "Bacterial small subunit ribosomal RNA", at positions 355 to 776 of the family's 1533-position model. The record is from RNAcentral. Lineage: Bacteria; Bacillati; Bacillota. RNAcentral also lists the same sequence under 1 other name.